GACGAACGUUGGCGGCGUGCUUAACACAUGCAAGUCGAACGGAAAGGCCCUGCUUUUGUGGGGUGCUCGAGUGGCGAACGGGUGAGUAACACGUGAGUAACCUGCCCUUGACUUUGGGAUAACUUCAGGAAACUGGGGCUAAUACCGGAUAGGAGCUCCUGCUGCAUGGUGGGGGUUGGAAAGUUUCGGCGGUUGGGGAUGGACUCGCGGCUUAUCAGCUUGUUGGUGGGGUAGUGGCUUACCAAGGCUUUGACGGGUAGCCGGCCUGAGAGGGUGACCGGCCACAUUGGGACUGAGAUACGGCCCAGACUCCUACGGGAGGCAGCAGUGGGGAAUAUUGCACAAUGGGCGGAAGCCUGAUGCAGCAACGCUGCGUGCGGGAUGACGGCCUUCGGGUUGUAAACCGCUUUCGCCUGUGACGAAGCGUGAGUGACGGUAAUGGGUAAAGAAGCACCGGCUAACUACGUGCCAGCAGCCGCGGUGAUACGUAGGGUGCGAGCGUUGUCCGGAUUUAUUGGGCGUAAAGGGCUCGUAGGUGGUUGAUCGCGUCGGAAGUGUAGUCUUGGGGCUUAACCCUGAGCGUGCUUUCGAUACGGGUUGACUUGAGGAAGGUAGGGGAGAAUGGAAUUCCUGGUGGAGCGGUGGAAUGCGCAGAUAUCAGGAGGAACACCAGUGGCGAAGGCGGUUCUCUGGGCCUUUCCUGACGCUGAGGAGCGAAAGCGUGGGGAGCGAACAGGCUUAGAUACCCUGGUAGUCCACGCUGUAAACGGUGGGUACUAGGUGUGGGGUCCAUUCCACGGGUUCCGUGCCGUAGCUAACGCUUUAAGUACCCCGCCUGGGGAGUACGGCCGCAAGGCUAAAACUCAAAGGAAUUGACGGGGCCCCGCACAAGCGGCGGAGCAUGCGGAUUAAUUCGAUGCAACGCGUAGAACCUUACCUGGGUUUGACAUGGAUCGGGAGCGCUCAGAGAUGGGUGUGCCUCUUUUGGGGUCGGUUCACAGGUGGUGCAUGGCUGUCGUCAGCUCGUGUCGUGAGAUGUUGGGUUAAGUCCCGCAACGAGCGCAACCCUUGUUCACUGUUGCCAGCACGUUAUGGUGGGGACUCAGUGGAGACCGCCGGGGUCAACUCGGAGGAAGGUGGGGAUGACGUCAAGUCAUCAUGCCCCUUAUGUCCAGGGCUUCACGCAUGCUACAAUGGCUGGUACAGAGAGUGGCGAGCCUGUGAGGGUGAGCGAAUCUCGGAAAGCCGGUCUCAGUUCGGAUUGGGGUCUGCAACUCGACCUCAUGAAGUCGGAGUCGCUAGUAAUCGCAGAUCAGCAACGCUGCGGUGAAUACGUUCCCGGGGCU
This 1346-nucleotide ribosomal RNA is filed under the name uncultured bacterium. RNAcentral's name for it is "bacterial SSU rRNA". It matches the Rfam family "Bacterial small subunit ribosomal RNA", at positions 28 to 1381 of the family's 1533-position model. The record is from RNAcentral.